This 305-nucleotide ribosomal RNA is filed under the name uncultured bacterium. Its description in RNAcentral is "bacterial SSU rRNA". It matches the Rfam family "Bacterial small subunit ribosomal RNA", at positions 334 to 632 of the family's 1533-position model. The record is from RNAcentral.
CUUACCUACGGGGGGCAGCAGUAGGGAAUCUUCCACAAUGGGCGAAAGCCUGAUGGAGCAACGCCGCGUGGGUGAAGAAGGUCUUCGGAUCGUAAAACCCUGUUGUUAGAGAAGAAAGUGCGUGAGAGUAACUGUUCACGUUUCGACGGUAUCUAACCAGAAAGCCACGGCUAACUACGUGCCAGCAGCCGCGGUAAUACGUAGGUGGCAAGCGUUAUCCGGAUUUAUUGGGUGUAAAGGGAGCGUAGACGGGCUGUUAAGUCAGCGGUAAAAGCCCGGGGCUCAACCCCGGCGAGCCGUUGAAA